UGCCAGCCGCCGCGGUAACACGGGGGGCGCAAGCGUUAUUCGGAAUUAUUGGGCGUAAAGGGCGCGCAGGCGGUCUUGUCCGUCAGGUGUGAAAGCUCGGGGCUCAACCCCGGAAGUGCACUUGAAACAGCAAGACUUGAAUACGGUAGAGGAGAGAGGAAUUCCGGGUGUAGCGGUGAAAUGCGUAGAUAUCCGGAGGAACAUCAGUGGCGAAGGCGGCUUUCUGGACCAAAAUUGACGCUGAGGCACGAAAGCGUGGGUAGCAAACAGGAUUAGAUA
This 279-nucleotide ribosomal RNA is filed under the name uncultured bacterium. Its description in RNAcentral is "partial 16S ribosomal RNA". It matches the Rfam family "Bacterial small subunit ribosomal RNA", at positions 506 to 784 of the family's 1533-position model. The record is from RNAcentral.